This 428-nucleotide ribosomal RNA is filed under the name uncultured bacterium. RNAcentral's name for it is "bacterial SSU rRNA". It matches the Rfam family "Bacterial small subunit ribosomal RNA", at positions 340 to 786 of the family's 1533-position model. The record is from RNAcentral.
UACGGAAGGCAGCAGGGGGAAUAUUGGACAAUGGGCGCAAGCCUGAUCCAGCCAUGCCGCGUGAGUGAUGAAGGCCUUAGGGUUGUAAAGCUCUUUUGUCCGGGACGAUAAUGACGGUACCGGAAGAAUAAGCCCCGGCUAACUUCGUGCCAGCAGCCGCGGUAAUACGAAGGGGCUAGCGUUGCUCGGAAUCACUGGGCGUAAAGGGCGCGUAGGCGGCCAUUUAAGUCGGGGGUGAAAGCCUGUGGCUCAACCACAGAAUUGCCUUCGAUACUGGAUGGCUUGAGUUCGGUAGAGGUUGGUGGAACUGCGAGUGUAGAGGUGAAAUUCGUAGAUAUUCGCAAGAACACCGGUGGCGAAGGCGGCCAACUGGACCGACACUGACGCUGAGGCGCGAAAGCGUGGGGAGCAAACAGGGAUUAGAUACC